AUCACUUAUGUGUAUUUCUAUUGAACUGGUGGACAAGGAAAGAUAGGCACAAGAAUACAUCGUCUUUUACAAUUCCAAACUCAUGGUUCAGUAUGAGUUUUGACACGAAUAAGAAGGAAAGA
This 122-nucleotide small nucleolar RNA is filed under the name Jaculus jaculus (lesser Egyptian jerboa). RNAcentral's name for it is "Small nucleolar RNA SNORA40 (ENSJJAG00000008667.1)". It matches the Rfam family "Small nucleolar RNA SNORA40". From Rfam's summary of the family: The snoRNA ACA 40 belongs to the H/ACA family of snoRNAs and guides the pseudouridylation of 28S rRNA subunit at position U4565. The record is from RNAcentral. Lineage: Eukaryota; Metazoa; Chordata; Mammalia; Rodentia; Dipodidae.